GAAAGCAAGAAUUAGAGUUUGAGUUUCUUUCUAGAUCAAACUCAAAGAACAAAUUUAACAAAGUGAACUUAAGUUUGAGGGUGAAAGCAACCAGAUAUCAAUUAGAGAUCUACAUCCGAGGAAUUAAAAAACCCCAAAAAUAGUUCACUUCAAAGUUCGAACAACAUAAAAUAGAGUGAAUUUCAAGCCAAGAUAUUGAUGAAUGCAAUACGAGUGUACAUAACCGUAAUAUUGAAAGACCAGAUGUAUUUGCAUGAAUAUGGAAGGAAGAUUCAAUUGUUCGUGCAAACAGGGAUAUCAUUCUGAACUCAGAUAUAAUAUCAGACAAGAUUGUUGUCGGGACCAGCCUAGGCUUCUCUCUUUUACUUGGGAAGAAUUGGACUUUAUGUCCACCAAAGAAGUUAGCAGUGUGGAUAUGAUUAUUCAUACAAACUGUUUUCAUACAGUUUGCUUCAUCGAUUCUAUUUUAAGAUUAAUGUUAAAAUACCCUUAUGAGGGGCUCAGAUAUACUGUUGAUCUAAACAAUUGAUUCCACGGGGAAACCAAACUUCAGCUCUGCAACUAAAGUCUUAAGAAAGUACAUAACCCAUGAAUCCAAAUUUCAUCUCUGUUA
Molecule: long non-coding RNA, 613 nt
Organism: Papaver somniferum (opium poppy)
Lineage: Eukaryota; Viridiplantae; Streptophyta; Magnoliopsida; Ranunculales; Papaveraceae
Exons: 4
Source: RefSeq, a predicted model, not a curated record